AAUAGACGUACCCGGGUAGUCCACGCCGUAAAACUAUGAUUACUCGAUGUCGGCGAUAUACUGUCGGUGUCCAAGCGAAAGUGAUAAGUAAUCCACCUGGGGAGUACGAUCGCAAGGUUGAAACUCAAAGGAAUUGACGGGGGCCCGCACAAGCGGUGGAGCAUGUGGUUUAAUUCGAUGAUACGCGAGGAACCUUACCUGGGCUUGAAUGCAUUAUGACCGUCCCGGAAACGGGACUUUCUUCGGACAGAAUGCAAGGUGCUGCAUGGUUGUCGUCAGCUCGUGCUGUGAGGUGUCGGGUUAAGUCCCAUAACGAGCGCAACCCCUAUUCUUAGUUGCCAGCGGGUAAUGCCGGGGACUCUAAGAAACUGCCCGCGUAAGCGGUGAGGAAGGUGGGGAUGACGUCAAAUCAUCACGGCCCUUACGUCCAGGGCUACACACGUGCUACAAUGGUCAGUACAAAGGGCAGCUACCUGGUGACAGGAUGCUAAUCUCGAAAACUGAUCUCAGUUCGGAUCGAAGUCUGCAACUCGUAC
Molecule: ribosomal RNA, 536 nt
Filed under: uncultured bacterium
Lineage: Bacteria
Description: bacterial SSU rRNA
Rfam family: Bacterial small subunit ribosomal RNA
Source: RNAcentral